Non-coding RNA from Vicia faba (fava bean), 270 nucleotides. NCBI's taxonomy places the organism in Eukaryota, Viridiplantae, Streptophyta, Magnoliopsida, Fabales, Fabaceae. The record is from the annotation of a GenBank genome assembly.
AUGAGUUCAACAAGCAGAGCAUGGGCAGCAGCAGGCAGUGUUGCAGUUGUGGAAGCUUUGAAGGAUCAAGGUAUAUGCAGAUGGAAUCAUACACUAAAGUCACUUCAAAAUCAUCUCAAAAACAAUGUCAGAUCGUAUUCUCAAGCAAGAAAAUUGUCAUCUUCUUCUUCUACUAUGGUUUCUAAUUCUCACAGACAAAAAGAGAAGGCAAAGCAAUCAGAGGAAUCUUUGAGGACAGUCAUGUAUUUGAGUUGCUGGGGUCCUAACUAA